RNAcentral lists this ribosomal RNA (496 nucleotides) under uncultured bacterium. RNAcentral's name for it is "partial 16S ribosomal RNA". It matches the Rfam family "Bacterial small subunit ribosomal RNA", at positions 28 to 506 of the family's 1533-position model. The record is from RNAcentral.
GACGAACGCUGGCGGCGUGCCUAAUACAUGCAAGUAGAACGCUGAAACUUGGUGCUUGCACCGAGCGGAUGAGUUGCGAACGGGUGAGUAACGCGUAGGUAACCUGCCUGGUAGCGGGGGAUAACUAUUGGAAACGAUAGCUAAUACCGCAUAAGAGUAGAUGUUGCAUGACAUUUGCUUAAAAGGUGCAAUUGCACCACUACCAGAUGGACCUGCGUUGUAUUAGCUAGUUGGUGGGGUAACGGCUCACCAAGGCGACGAUACAUAGCCGACCUGAGAGGGUGAUCGGCCACACUGGGACUGAGACACGGCCCAGACUCCUACGGGAGGCAGCAGUAGGGAAUCUUCGGCAAUGGACGGAAGUCUGACCGAGCAACGCCGCGUGAGUGAAGAAGGUGUUCGGAUCGUAAAGCUCUGUUGUAAGAGAAGAACGAGUGUGAGAGUGGAAAGUUCACACUGUGACGGUAUCUUACCAGAAAGGGACGGCUAACUACGU